RNAcentral lists this ribosomal RNA (239 nucleotides) under uncultured Lactobacillus sp. RNAcentral's name for it is "partial 16S ribosomal RNA". It matches the Rfam family "Bacterial small subunit ribosomal RNA", at positions 122 to 356 of the family's 1533-position model. Lineage: Bacteria; Bacillati; Bacillota; Bacilli; Lactobacillales; Lactobacillaceae. The record is from RNAcentral.
UAACCUGCCCAAGAGAUCGGGAUAACACCUGGAAACAGAUGCUAAUACCGGAUAACAACAGAUGAUGCCUAUCAACUGUUUAAAAGAUGGUUCUGCUAUCACUCUUGGAUGGACCUGCGGUGCAUUAGCUAGUUGGUAGGGUAACGGCCUACCAAGGCGAUGAUGCAUAGCCGAGUUGAGAGACUGAUCGGCCACAUUGGGACUGAGACACGGCCCAAACUCCUACGGAGGCAGCAGCG